GUGGGGACAGGUGAAGGGGAGGAGGAAGAGUGUAUUUUGUUUAUGGGCGGCAACCUCACGAGGGGCGUCCCAUCCUUAUUGGCUCAUUGAAGCGAAGAGUGGCAUGAGAACAACCCAAUAGUAGGAAAAGAUAGAGGGUUCGCGAUGUGAGGCGCCCAAUGUGGGCCUUCUGCCGAAGAGGUAGGGGCGGGGGGAAGUUUAGGAGUUGAGGAAAGAAGAUUAAAGAGCGCGAGGAGUUGCCGCUUCCAAGAAGAGGAGCUGAGGGGGACUAGCCUGGGCUCAGGAGCUACUAGAGGCGCCCGCUUGUCUUCCGCCCCCUCCCUUCUCGCCCUCCCCCCGCUUGCCGUGGCUCUGGCGGUCUCUGGAGCGUCUUCUGAGAACUGGGGGGCGGGAGGGGUCCUGGCCCCAGAGUCGCUGGACGCCCCUCCAGACGCCCGAGCUACCGGCCGCCGCCCGCUUCGCUGCUACGACUCUAGAGGAGGGGGCUUGGGAAGGGAAGACACUCCUUUCCUUCUUUCUCUCCUCCUGUGGGCCCCCGUGGAAACAUUAAAAAGAAAAAAAAAAUGCUUACGGUUUUCAAUAGCCGAGAGAAACGGUUGGAAGCUUUUUAAAAGUUUGAAAGAAAUGCACUGUUUUACAUUGUUUAAUGCAUUACUAUCCGUGUGGCAUUCUGGUCUUUUCCCACCACCCGCCCCACGCCCCGCCCCUCUUGAAGCUGUUAUCCUUUUUAAGGAUGCUGAAGAGGCAGGAGGCAGGGAUUUUCUAAAAGUUCUAUUGAUAAACACACUUGCACAAACAUAUGCUAGGCACACAAACUAUAAACAUGAGCGGAAAACACAAUAUGGCGUACAGCUACCCUACCUAGCGCGGUAAUCCGCUGAUCUCUUAAGGCAGCCCAGUUGAAUGGGGUCAGUAGCAGGAUGACAGUUCUCCAAUAAAAAUCUGAAUGAAUCAGGAAGUAAUUUAGAA
RNAcentral lists this long non-coding RNA (969 nucleotides) under Bos mutus (wild yak). RNAcentral describes it as "lncRNA (ENSBMUG00000018856.1)". Lineage: Eukaryota; Metazoa; Chordata; Mammalia; Artiodactyla; Bovidae. The record is from RNAcentral.